CUACGGGAGGCAGCAGUGGGGAAUAUUGCACAAUGGAGGAAACUCUGAUGCAGCAACGCCGCGUGGAGGAUGACACUUUUCGGAGCGUAAACUCCUUUUAUAUAGGAAGAAGAUGACGGUACUAUAUGAAUAAGCGCCGGCUAACUCCGUGCCAGCAGCCGCGGUAGUACGGAGGGCGCAAGCGUUACUCGGAAUCACUGGGCGUAAAGAGCGUGUAGGCGGAUUAAAAAGUCAGAAGUGAAAUCCUAUAGCUUAACUAUAGAACUGCUUCUGAAACUCUUAAUCUAGAAUAUGGGAGAGGUAGAUGGAAUUUCUGGUGUAGGGGUAAAAUCCGUAGAGAUCAGAAGGAAUACCGAUUGCGAAGGCGAUCUACUAGAACAUUAUUGACGCUGAGACGCGAAAGCGUGGGGAGCAAACAGGAUUAGAUACCCGCGUAGUC
Molecule: ribosomal RNA, 439 nt
Filed under: uncultured bacterium
Lineage: Bacteria
Description: partial 16S ribosomal RNA
Rfam family: Bacterial small subunit ribosomal RNA
Source: RNAcentral